RNAcentral lists this ribosomal RNA (579 nucleotides) under uncultured bacterium. RNAcentral's name for it is "bacterial SSU rRNA". It matches the Rfam family "Bacterial small subunit ribosomal RNA", at positions 102 to 677 of the family's 1533-position model. The record is from RNAcentral.
ACGGGUGAGUAAUGUCUGGGAAACUGCCUGAUGGAGGGGGAUAACUACUGGAAACGGUAGCUAAUACCGCAUAACGUCGCAAGACCAAAGAGGGGGACCUUCGGGCCUCUUGCCAUCAGAUGUGCCCAGAUGGGAUUAGCUAGUAGGUGGGGUAACGGCUCACCUAGGCGACGAUCCCUAGCUGGUCUGAGAGGAUGACCAGCCACACUGGAACUGAGACACGGUCCAGACUCCUACGGGAGGCAGCAGUGGGGAAUAUUGCACAAUGGGCGCAAGCCUGAUGCAGCCAUGCCGCGUGUAUGAAGAAGGCCUUCGGGUUGUAAAGUACUUUCAGCGGGGAGGAAGGCGAUGCGGUUAAUAACCGCGUCGAUUGACGUUACCCGCAGAAGAAGCACCGGCUAACUCCGUGCCAGCAGCCGCGGUAAUACGGAGGGUGCAAGCGUUAAUCGGAAUUACUGGGCGUAAAGCGCACGCAGGCGGUCUGUCAAGUCGGAUGUGAAAUCCCCGGGCUCAACCUGGGAACUGCAUCCGAAACUGGCAGGCUUGAGUCUCGUAGAGGGGGGUAGAAUUCCAGGUGUA